AGAAAACUUUAAGACUUUAAAUAUUACUAAUCUAUGGAAGUUUUAGAAAAACUAAACGUAAAGAAAAUAUUUCUUUUUGUUAAAAAGUGACCAGAGUAUUCUUUAAAUAAAUGGGUGGAAGUACUUAUAAAAUUAUUACCGAGAGGGGAACAAAUUUUGUUAGAUUUUUAUUAUAUUAAAAAGAAGUUGUUAAAGAUGUACCUUUUGUAUUAUGGUUAGUUAAAAUAAAAGGAGAAUAAUUGACUCUUUAAACGAAAUGAGGUGAGCUACUAUUUUCUUUAGCUAGGCUAUAAAACUUUCUGUAUUAAAAGAAAGAAGAGAGGAAAGAGUAGAUGUUAAAAGCUUAUCGAACCUUAUGAUAGCUUUUUUUUAGGGAAAUGAAUUUAAGUUUAAUUAAAAUUAUGUUUUAAUUAGAAGAGAGUGGUUGAUCACUUUUUUCUUGAAGAAAGAACUUUAUUAAUUAAGAUAAGCCAAUUAUAAAAAUUUAUAAAGUUAAUAAAUAGGUUUUAAGCAAUUAUUUUUUUGAAGGCGUUUGAGCCCAUUAACUAGCAAUGUAUAAUUCUUGUUUAAUAUUAGCUUUUCUUAUACAAAAAUACCUAAAUAUUGUUUAAUAACAAAAAAUAAUGACUAAAUGAGUAAAGUUAGGGCCUUUUUGUAAUAUAAGCAUUAGGAGAGGGUAGAAGAAAAUAUCUUUAGUUUGUAUCCUUAUGAAAGGGGCCUUUAAAAAUUUAAUAUAAAGAAAGGAACUCGGCAAAUUGUUUCUGCGCCUGUUUACCAAAAACACCGCCCUUGGAGAUAGAUCAAAGGGUUCUGCCUGCCCGGUGACGUGAAGUUAAACGGCUGCAGUAUUACUGACUGUGCAAAGGUAGCAUAAUCAUUAGCCUAUUAAUUGUAGGCUUGUAUCAACGGCUAGACGAUGGAAAGACUGUCUCUCUUUAUAGAACUUUAAAUUAAUUUUAAGGUGAAGAAACCUUAAUUUAUUAGUGGGACGAGAAGACCCUAUAGAGCUUUAUUUUUAAAUAGGAGGUUGUUCCUAUUAUUAAAAUUUGGUUGGGGCAACCGCUUUUAUUAUAAGACAGGAGCAUAUAUUUUAUCUAAUUUAAGUUAUAAAUUAAAAGAUCCAGAAAAUUCUGAUAAAUAGAAAAAGUUACCUUAGGGAUAACAGCGUAAUUUUUUUUGAGAGUACUUAUUGACAAAAAAGUUUGCGACCUCGAUGUUGGAUCAGGAAUACCUGGGUGUGCAGCAGCCCCCUACGGUUGGUUUGUUCAACCAUUAAACUCCUACGUGAUCUGAGUUCAGUCCGUCGUGAGACAGGACAGUUUCUAUCUACUACAAUUAUUCCCCCUUGUACGAAAGGACUUUGGGAAAAAGAAAAAAUAUUAAAAGUAUAAUCUUAAAAUAAUUACUUGAAUAAAAUAAAAAAGAAUAAAUAUGUAAAUUAA
Molecule: ribosomal RNA, 1442 nt
Filed under: Amphiura digitula
Lineage: Eukaryota; Metazoa; Echinodermata; Ophiuroidea; Amphilepidida; Amphiuridae
Description: 16S ribosomal RNA
Rfam family: Bacterial large subunit ribosomal RNA (bases 982-1332)
Source: RNAcentral